RNAcentral lists this ribosomal RNA (468 nucleotides) under uncultured bacterium. RNAcentral's name for it is "partial 16S ribosomal RNA". It matches the Rfam family "Bacterial small subunit ribosomal RNA", at positions 28 to 507 of the family's 1533-position model. The record is from RNAcentral.
GACGAACGCUGGCGGCGUGCUUAACACAUGCAAGUCGAACGGAAAGGCCCUGCUUUUGUGGGGUGCUCGAGUGGCGAACGGGUGAGUAACACGUGAGUAACCUGCCCUUGACUUUGGGAUAACUUCAGGAAACUGGGGCUAAUACCGGAUAGGAGCUCCUGCUGCAUGGUGGGGGUUGGAAAGUUUCGGCGGUUGGGGAUGGACUCGCGGCUUAUCAGCUUGUUGGUGGGGUAGUGGCUUACCAAGGGUUUGACGGGUAGCCGGCCUGGGAGGGGGACCGGCCUCAUUGGUACUAAGAGACGGCCCAGUCUCCUACGGGAGGCAGCGGUGGGGAAUAUUGCACAAUGGGCGGAAGCCUGAUGCGGCAACGCCGCGUGCGGGAUGACGGCCUUCGGGUUGUAAACCGCUUUCGCCUGUGACAAAGCGUGAGUGACGGUAAUGAGUAAAGAAGCACCGGCUAACUACGUG